CCGCAGCCAGCAGCCGCAACCCUCUAGGUCCCCUUCCAUGCUGUGGAAGCUUUGUUCUUUUGCCCUUUGCAAUCAAUCUUGCUGCUGCUUACUCUUUGGGGCCGCAGUACCUUUGUAAGCUGUAACACUCACCGCAAAGGUCUGCGGUUUCACUCCUGAAGCCAGUGAGACCACGAACCCACUGGGAGGAACGAACAACUCUGGACACACAGCCUUUAAGAGCUGUAACGCUCACUGCGAAGGUGUGCGGCUUCACUCCUGCAGUCAUCAAGACCACGAACCCACCAGAAGGAAGAAACUCUGGACACAUCUGAACAUCUGAAGGAACAAACUCCGGACACACCAUCUUUAAGAACUUUAACACUCACCGCAAGGGUCCACAGCGUCAUUCUUGAAGUCAGUGAGACCAAGAACCCACUGGAAGGAACUAAUUCUGGACACACUGUGAUCACAUCACUGUACUUCAGCCUGGGUGACACAGUGAGACCCUGUCUCUAAUUAAAAACAAAAAUUAGAAUAUUGCUCCUGUGCAAUAUCAAAUGCUUAGUGGAUCUAGGUGAUGAUUGUCAAUGACUGCUAAUAAUACAUGAAGAAACAACCACAUAUUAUAUACUACUAAUCUAUGGAAAUAAGGGAGGGAGAAAUACAUUGAGAAACACUGCAGGAAUGCUAUCAGAAAAGUCCAGAAUAUAAGAAAUUCUAUAUCAAAUAACAUUUUUCAACAAAAGAAACUGAGAGAAAAGAAAAAGAAAUGAAAGCACAAUUUGCAGGUUAAAAGAAGAGUCCUCAAGAAUCUGGGGAAGAGAACUGAAUGAAUGAGAGCUCGUGGCAGGAGGGAGAAUGUCCUCUGAACACUUCUCCUUGCUGCUGCCCUAUGAAGAAGGACAUGUUUGCUUCCCCUUCCCCCGUAAUUGUAAGUUUUCUGAGGCCUCCCCAGCCCUACAGAACGAGUUCAUGUUAUACUGGUGAUUCUUUCGUCUGUCUCAGAGAUGACAGCCUGCUAUACACCUUGUUGACCAAAAGCAACAUCAGGAUGAAGGCCCUGAUACACAGUGUUUGACUCUCUUGUCCUCUGACUUCUGCCACACACAAGGACACAGCGUUCAUCCCACUAAGAAGAAGAUGAAAAAGGGGAUAGCAUGCAGCCACAAGGAACAAUCUCAAAAGCAGAGAGAAGCCCUCACCAGACAACCACACCUGCAGACACCUUGAUCUUGAACUUCUCAGUGUCUAGAACUGUGAAAAAUAAAACUGUGGUCUUUAUAAAUUACCUGGUCUAAGGUACAAUCACAUGUCACUUAACAAUGUAGGG
Molecule: long non-coding RNA, 1312 nt
Filed under: Homo sapiens (human)
Lineage: Eukaryota; Metazoa; Chordata; Mammalia; Primates; Hominidae
Description: HSALNT0394730
Source: RNAcentral